Non-coding RNA from Zootermopsis nevadensis, 3732 nucleotides. NCBI's taxonomy places the organism in Eukaryota, Metazoa, Arthropoda, Insecta, Blattodea, Termopsidae. The record is from RefSeq and is a predicted model, not a curated record.
GAUAAAUAGUCUGGAAGGGAUGUAGGAUUUUUUUCAGAUGUUAUAGUGAGUGGUUUAGUUUUUUAAGCAAACUGUACUCUUCAAAAUUAUGCUAAGAAAAAAUAUAUUUCAGAAGUAAAUGUAUUAUGCAAAUAUAACUUGUUGUGUUUAGCUAUUUUAUGCUUAUAGUUCUAUAUAAGUUUCUAAUCCUGUUUGUGGAUUUUUAAAAUUGUGGUAUAUUUAAUAUUUCAAAAUAACUUGUAGCAAAUGAUUGUUGGUUUAAGGUAUGAGUUUAUACAAUCCCGGAGAUAACAUGAAAUAUUAAGUAUUAAUUUCCCUGAAAGGGGACCAAAUGUUGUCUUGCUUAAUUUUAUAUGAAUGCCCCAUAAUUCUUACUGAUAGUACUACAUAGAAGUUUCAUAUUUAUGUCUUUGCUGUCUGAACAGUUCAUGAUUAGUGAGAGCCAGACUGUGAAAAUAAGUUUUGGGAAGAACUUGUGGUAAUCUACUUUUCACCAAAUGCUUCAGUUCACAUGGAGAGACUGGCAAGAAUAUACAUUAAUAAGUGUACAAAAUUUUAAUAUGAUAUAAGUUUUUACAGUGACUGACAUUAAUAAAACCUUACCUGGCUAUUAGCCAUGACAGUUUAUUAAAAAUCGAUGUUUAAGGGAUCAGCUGAAUCUGUGUCAAGAUUUGAUGUAAGAGUCCAUCCAGACAAGGCCACAUAUAUGCUUAACCAGUGCCUGUGUUCGAAGCUGUGGAUGAGCCAGUUGGGUCUAGUGGGUGUAGGCAAGUGCUGGCUUAGCUUGGCCUUGCGUCCAGAUUGAUGUCUUUGUAUUGUUUGAGUGUGUUGGCCACUGGGUACCAGGACUGACAAAGUGAAACAACCGUCCCCAUUAAAGUUUUUGGGGUGGAGCCUGAUCUCAAUAGCCUCUUUUAUUACAUGGCCCACGUAUCUUGUGGCCUUAUCCAGGUUGAAUAUUCUUUUAAAAUUUAUGGAAUGUCCUGUAUCAGAUCUGUGCUCUGCCGUGGUAGAGUUAUCUGGCUGGCCCAGUAAUAUGUCCCAUGUGUUCUCUGCAUCUGGUUUCAGUGCAUUUGCCAGUCUGUCCAACAUAGACUUAUGUAAAAUUUUAAGUUAUGUUCUAAUUGUAUUUAAUAUCAUUACCUAUUAACAUACAGUAUUCCAUGUCAAUGUUUUGGAGAAAACACACUGUCCAUAUUUAGGGUCAAAGAUAGAAACUAUGUUUCUCCGAAGUGUUGACAUCUGUCAUUGAGUCUGCUUGGCAUCAAAACCCAGAAUGAGAACAUCAUUAUCAUCCUCAUUGCCAUGAAGACUUCAGAUCUCAUACAAUAUUUAAUUUGUAAUUAUAUUGAUUAUAUCAUUACAGACUCAACCCAUGUUACAGCAUAUUUAUGCUAUCUUUAGGGGCAUUAUUGGCUAAAAUCUGCUAACAUAAAAUUAAAAUUAUAUUAACCUUUAUGAUGGCUGUCUUCUGAGUUUUUGCAGUGUUUAGUCUGUAGAUCUUAACUGGCAUUUUCAUUGCUCUGGUGAUGGAACCAGCAAGUGCCUGUGAAAUGGUAAACUUCUACCAGACUACACGGCACAACCCAAAAGGCAGCCAUGUGUAUUUUGAUCACUGUAAGAACCAGAGAUCUUAGUAAAGUAAGCUAAAGAUAUGAAUAUGUUGGCUUCAAUGAAAUAUUGUAGUUGACUGUUUUUUUCUUUUGUAUUUGUUGCUUGUGUCAAUCUUCUGUCUAAUUUCUAGUUUGUAUAUUGCUAUCUUGGAUACUACUAGACUGUGUUUAUUUCUGACCUCUGUCUGCUGAAAUUAUAAGAAGGUUUGGUUAAUGUUUGUUUUAGGGUUUUUUCACAUUAUGAUAUUCAGAGCUCAACAAAUCCCAGGCACCAGGUCUCCAUGUCACAUUGAAAUCUUCUUGUGGCAGCUAAUAUUUUCACGUAUGCUUUAUAUUGGAUUUUGCUGUUUUGAAAACACAGAUCGAAAAUGAAUGCACCAUGGAACUGAUCAUCUCAGGCAGCAAAUGAUCUGGGCACCAAAUUGUUUAUUUCACGAUUAUUUGCAGUGAUUAUUGUUAGAGAUUUUACUUUCGAUGUCAUUAGAUGGUGCAAGUUUAGCUUGUGUGCUGAUUUGAAGGUACAGACCGCUGUGUACGUGUGUUAUUCAGUAAACUCAUACAGAACGGGCUUGACAAAUAAUGAUAUAUAGUACUGUGGUUCAUAUGCGUGUUUACCAUCCAUAACUGUGAUUGUUUCUGUAGGUUAUAAUGUUUGUUUCGUUGUUUUACUUUUGUGCAUAGUGCACUAAAGUUUAUAGGAGUGAGCCCCAUAUCUAAUAUUUUACGUGAUAACUGACCCGUAUUCCCUUGAAAUUCAGCUCCAUUGUCAAUGAUGUCAAUUAUAUGCCCUGUGAGAAAUAUAACUGUCAAAAUUGGGCAUUGUUUUGUUUUAAUACAAUUUUUAAAUUUGCACUUACUUUAUUGUUUUAUCACAUGUAAUUUGCAUAAACAGUGUAGGGAUAGGACAUUUAUGUUAAGGCUUCUGUGAAUGGUGUGUUACAGUUACUAUUACUGGAUUUCUGUACUUUGCCCAUUAUCUUAUGUCACAUUCAUCACCAUUAUGUGCAGUGAGACAUCUGAUGUACCAGUUGGACCCUUACUUUUCCUCAUAUAUAUCAAUGACCUGCCGGCAACUAUAAACUCUAUAUCCAAACCUAUUCUUUUUGCCCACAUCAACAGUGUGCCGGCCGACCACGCAAUGCAAGCAUGACCGCAGCCUCAUAAAUUGUAGACCCGGUAUAUUACUGACUUUUCAAUGCAUAUCCUGCACCAUAGUGAAUGAGUUAAGUAGAAGAAUGUAAUUCCUGUGACAUUCACUUAAAUCUUGUGAUAUUAAAAUGUUGUGGUGUGUGAUUGGUAGCAUGAGGUAUGUGCAAAGUUUGUAUUUCUGGCUUUUAAAUAAUGGAAAUGUGUACAAAUUUGUAAACGAUAGCUGCUAGUAAAAACCACUAAAACAGCUGUAAGCAUCGUUAUUAUAGGAAGUACAGCAGCACUGCAGGGCGUCUGAAUACGAGGCACAACUGCUGGCCAGACGACUGUAAUAAUCUCUUGUCAAUAUCAGAGAUGGCGUGCUUCGGUAUUUUGUAGUGCACCUACAAUUCUUAACACAUGGCUGCUGCAAGUUUUUUCCAUAACGUCAAUUGUUGGUUCAAGAGGAACAGCCGCCAGAGAGCUAUUUUACCAUUGUAAUAAAUUGUUUAAUUACCAUACUUCAUUAUUCUCUUUGACUCGACUAGGUGCUACAACACUUUCCAAAAUCAGAAUGUUAUUCGAACAGGCACAAUACGAAUCAAUGGAACGAAAUGGCUAACCAAUGACUGAAUAUCUUUCAUACAAACAAUAUGGUGGCAUCGUUAUUUGAAUCGGUUGUGUGAACGAAUAUUGUCUUGGAGUGUAUAUAAAUUUACGGCCAACUGUACGUUUGGUGCCUUGACGAAGUUGUGGUUGGAAAGAGUUGCUAUUUAAAAUAUAAGUGAUCUAUUUUUGGUGUUUUCAUCGUUUUACUUUGGUGUUUUGCUGGUCUUGUGGUUGGAGACUACAUCGUUGAAGGCCUGAAAUUGAAGCAUUAUUAUAAUUUAUGUGCAGUCCACAGAUCCUUCAUAGUACAACCCAAGGAUGUGGAACAUGUCUAGUAUGAAUAUGAACAGUAGUGGUACAAUGAAAUAAGUAAAGUAAAGUU